Molecule: non-coding RNA, 29 nt
Filed under: Rattus norvegicus (Norway rat)
Lineage: Eukaryota; Metazoa; Chordata; Mammalia; Rodentia; Muridae
Source: RNAcentral
UAGAAAAUUCCUGCUUCUAGCUGGCUGGU